RNAcentral lists this long non-coding RNA (5332 nucleotides) under Daucus carota (carrot). Its description in RNAcentral is "long non-coding RNA (DCAR_LNC003534)". Lineage: Eukaryota; Viridiplantae; Streptophyta; Magnoliopsida; Apiales; Apiaceae. The record is from RNAcentral.
AAGCAAGUAUUUCUACCCUACUCCUCUAGUACCUAUAGAUACUAAAACCUUCUUUAUAUCAUGAUUCAAAUUAUUUGCAAUUACUUUCUUGUGAAGCAUAUCUAGUACUUUUAAACCUUUUGGUUGAACGGAUAACACUUUUGGUAUCGACUCUACACUAUGAUAUGCAUAAAGAAAUUGUUUUAACAAAAUGUUGUUCUGGCUCUUGAAUUACAUGAUAGAACUGCAGAUUGUUUUAAAAAUUAAACUGUUGGGUUGUUUUUGCGUAAGAGGCUCGGGCACCGGCCCAGCGUGAAAGGUGGCUCCUUAAGCCCGGAUUACCGGAAUUCGUAAUAUUUGUCAACCUUGCUGAAUAAGCUUGGUUUAUGGACUAUAGCAUGACUGAUCAUCUGUUAUAGCCAGGUGUCCAAUUAAUUUUAAAGCCCAAUAAAAUUGUGAAUAGUUUAAAAAGAAGUUACCCUGCCUUCAAGAGAUAUUUGCUUAUACAUUCAUUUCUGCAGUUUUAAAUAUUUUCACUUCUUUAUUAUGGCAUUGCUGUACAACAAAUAUCAAUUUCAUUUUGUUAUUCUUGCUGAGCAUUAUUGCUCAUUCUUGCUAUUCCUUCUAACCCUUUUCAGCUAGGAAUAAAGAUGAUUCACUUAAGACUAGGCAAGGAUUGCAAGUGGUUGAGUUUCAAGCAGAUGGACAGGUAGAGUAUUUAGGACGAUGUCAUUAAGACUAGAUGCAGUUGGAGUUCUGCAAUUCAAUUCAGUUGGAAAUUAGAUUUGUUUAUUUGGUUAUCAGCUACUCUUCUUAUCGAGGUUUAGCUGAUAAUGUUGUUUAAUUUGUAAAUAAGAUUUUAUAGUUUUAGUUUCUGAUUUCAAUGCUGUAGCCUGUAUGCGAUCCUGUUUUCAGGGGGUGAAAUUGAUUUUGAAUUAAAGACCUUCUUUUAAAAAAAAAAAAUAUCCAGGUUUAGAAAUACUUGUUUUUACUUUCUUCCAAAAAUACAGGUUUUAAAUUGUUUUUCUUUUAAUGGCUCAAAACUACAGGUUUUAAAUUAUUUUUAUUUACACGUGGCACCAGAUCUAGACCCCCGGAUUUGAGGGAUGUCACAGUUGGUAUCAGAGCUACAGGUUAUAAGUUAUUGAAAUCAGAAUGUAGGUUGUAACUUGUCUAAUAAGAUAGACACGUUAAGUGAAACCUCACAUAUAGGUAAGUUCAGAUUAGUGGUGUAACCUCAUAUAGAGGUAUCGUAAGACUAUUUGGGGAUAGUCCUUCUGAGCAUAAUAAAAUGAAGCUAAACGAUUAUGUUUAAGUGAUUAUGGUUAUAGACACAACAAUUCCUAAUUCUAGUUCUUCCAGUCCCUAGUGGCCUAGUUUAUUGACCAAUUCAGAUUUAUAUCAUUGUAAGAGGGUCAAAGUUAGACCUAUCAACAGAACCUUCAAGCUAGAACCAGUAGAGAUUCUCACACAGUCUAAUGUAUCCUUUAUAGUAUCUUCCAAGUGUUGAGUAUUAUUUGAAGAGUCACCUUUUGAUUCUUGUCAGAGAUAUCUAGAAUUGGUGAAAGAAUAGAGGUGUUAACAAGUCCGAGUUUACAGCUUUGUAUAUAGUUAAGUAGUGAGCGUUAGAGCUACGUAGAGUUUGUGUUAGAUUAUUCGAUCUAGUACUUAUGUGUGAGUUAAGAUGUCAACGCUCUAUGGUGAUGAUUGUAUAAAGUUGGAUAAGACUUUUGACCGACAACGAUAUCAAUGAUGGGAUCUUCAGAGGCUAUUACUAGUCAACGAUAAUAUAUGCAAGUGGUCACUAAAACGUCAAGAAAAAUCACUAGAAUCAGAACGAGUCAUCAAAAGAAUCGAUCAAAAAGACAUCUGUGAGAAUCCUGGCAAUACCUUCCUCAUUGUUGAUAUAUUGAUUUCUUUCCCCAUCAAUGAUUUGUUCUGACAUCACUUUAAAAAAAAAAAAUAUUUGAUAAAGAGUAUAUUUUUACCUUUCACUCGAGUUCUCGAAUGAUACUUGUGCUUACUGUCACACCUAUAGAAUCUAUUCAAUCUUGGUAAUUUCGAACCCUUUCAUAUUCUCUACUCUAACUGAGAUGAACAACCCUACCUAUAGGGGACACAAGGACUACCUGUCUGUGUGAUAGGAGUUGGAUGGGACGCCAUCACUUGUGUGUGUUGUACAUUACAAGAAGGUUAACUACCUUUAGUAGUGUCUUAAAUUAGACACGCAACACCGAGUUCUAUAGACCAUAUUGAUCUCUCAGUUAUUCAUUUAUUUCAAUCACGUAACACUUGCUCCAAUAUGUGAAAUCUGUCAUAUCUUUUACCUUCAAGAUUCUUCUAAUCUCUAAUAGUUGGAGGUAUGCCAACCGAGUUGCCAAUAUGAAUUAAGACUUUGUAGUAAGAAGCACCAGGGAUGAAAGCGAAUGACAAUGCUGGUUAUAUCAGAAAGGAAUAUUAUGGAUUAUAGAGAUCGUACACUCUAGUUUUCUUUUUGAUGAUUCCGAGGACGGAAUCUUUUUAAGGGGGGUAGAUUGUGACGACCCGGAUUUUCAGAAAUUAUUUUAUUAUUUUUAUUCAUGAUUAUUCGAGACAAAUGAGGAAUAAAUUUCAAUAUUUUAUUCUAGUUUGAUAAUUUUCAAAAAUAUUUGUUUAAAUUAUUUUCCUAGUCAUUGUGAUUAUGAGAAAAUAUCUGUUGAUUGUACAAUUAUAUGUUACGAGAUUUAAUUGAAUUAGUUGUCUACUAUUAUGUCUGUGUGUGCAUUUAUUUUUACUUUUAAUAUUACUGUAUUGUUUUAUUGAAAUUUAUUAUCCUCUUAAAUGGAUAUUUAUUUUUGUAAAAAUACAAAGAUAAUUUCAAAAAUUAUUUUAAUUGCUCGAUAGUGAUCAUAAAUAUGUUUAGAAGUUUUUAAAAUAUUAAAAAUCCAAUUUCUACAAGGACAUGAUUUUUAAUUAGUUUCUAAACGCAGCUAACUUCUUAAUUUUGUAUAAAUUUUGAAAAUGCUCUAUAAAUCUUGAAACUUUUAUUUUAUGAGUUUUAUAAUAUUCGGUAAUUUAUAAAAUUAGUUUGUUAAUUUUUCGAGAAAGUUUUAAUGCGAGUUAUCCCGUAAAUCAACUAAAUAGCGGGUGUUUGGAUGAUUAUUCAGCUUAAAAUAAAACGUGGCAGCCUUUGGCCAAACCACGUGCCCUGCUUUUCACCACCGCCAUCCCUUUUCUUCAUUUUAUAUACAUCAGCCUCUCAAUCUCUCUCUCUCUCUCCCUGUGAAAUCCUCCAUCUCUCCCUCUCCGCUCCUCUUUCUUUUCUCACCCAUCUUCCUCUCUUUCUUGGCAUCACCGUCCCUUCCCUGCAGCCGCCGAAUUAUGCCGCUGCCACCUCUUUCCGGCGACCACCAUAGCCCUGCACCAAUUAUAAAUCAGUGGGUAUAAAGCUUAAUUUCUCUUUGUCAAAUCAGUUCUAUAUAAACGUAUAUAUACAUGUGGUGUUGUGUUUAUAUGGUUUAAAUUGAUUUAUAUAAUCGAUUUAUGUGUGCUUGUAUGUAUAUAAACUGAUUAUAUGCUGGUUAUUGAAAUUUGAAGGUUGAUUGAAUUUUUGAGAUUGAGAUUGGUGUUAGUAAUCGUAUGAUUGAAUUGUGUGCUUAAUUGAUAUUUGAAUUGGUUGUUGGAGGUUCAUUAUAAAUGGUGCGCCAACUAGUAGUGUAAUCGGAUGACUUGGGUACUUGAUUUAUGGGAAUAUAUAACUGAGUAUUAAAGCUUUAAGGUCUGAGAUUUUGUGUAAAUGUUUUCAGAAUGGUGUUUUAAGAGUUUAAGUAUUGGGCUAAAAAAAAUUUAGAUUUACACAUAAUCGGUUGAAUUGUAAGUUGCUGCUGAUCUGUUUUGCAGUAAAAUUCUGGGCUUCUAGAGUCGAAUUAUAUGCUUAAUAUUUUUGUGGUUAUGUGCUCCUCAGAGUCUAGUUUAUGUGCGCAAAAGAAUCGAAUCAAUUCGAUUAGCGAGCUAGGAGAUAUGACCGUUUUAGUAUAGUAUGGUGCUGAAAAUUCUGGGCAGGUUUGUCCUGUUCUAGGCUCUGUUUUACUGCUUUAAACUUGAAGUUUCUUUCUGAAAAUUUUACUGUAGGUUGGAAUAAUAUUCAGGAGUGUCUCAUAAAAAUUUUGUAUUUAAAAGAUAAAUUUUCAAUUUAUUAAAAAUCAUAGACCGAGGGCUGUUUGAACUAUUUGUUCUAGUUUUUCUUUCUUUGCUAGUGCAUAGUAUGAGGUUAUACUUGGCUAAUUGCAUAUGAUUGAUUAUUACAUUGAUUGGCUCGGUUAACCUUUAUAUCUAAUUAAACGUGCUUUGCGUAUAACAAAUUAGUAAUCCUGCUAAAAGAUUUUAUUAUAUGUUCACUACAAGUCAAGACAGAUUUUCUGUUCACUGCAAGCCAAGGGAUCUUUUUUUAUAUUAAUAAUUCAUGUGUUAGCAAUGGUAUUGGUUGGUUGUUGGUAUUGCAAACAGGUGGAUAGUCCGAUAAACAGAGGAGAUGAUGCCGAAUUUUCGUUAGGAAUUAUAUGUAUUUAAUGGCUAUAAAAAGGGGUUAUUUGUGCAAUUAUGUGUUAUGUGUUUAUCUGCCUAUGUGGUAUGUAUAUGCGAAGGGUAGAUAUAUAUAGGUCUUAAUACUUUUCAGAGUUAGUUAAUUUGUCUGAUCCGACGGUUAAAAUACUAUUUUACUAUCGUAUAGAAUUGAAGACAUUGACCGAGGCAUUGAUCGAGAAGUGAUUGAAAUGGGUAUCCAGAAUUAGCCAAGUAGUGUUGCAAGUUGAAGUAGGGCGGAGAUUUGUUAUAGAUAAAAGUUUGUCAGAAGCUGGCAGAAAGGAAUGAUAUGGCGGUAUAUAGUAUUAUUAGAAAUCUGACCUAGACACCGGAGUUAAGGCAAGUACUUCUACCUUUCUCUCGCAAUUUAGAAGCAAGUAUUUCUACCCUACUCCUCUAGUACCUAUAGAUACUAAAACCUUCUUUAUAUCAUGAUUCAAAUUAUUUGCAAUUACUUUCUUGUGAAGCAUAUCUAGUACUUUUAAACUUUUUGGUUGAACGGAUAACACUUUUGGUAUCAACUCUACACUAUGAUAUGCAUAAAGAAAUUGUUUUAACAAAAUGUUAUUCUGGCUCUUGAAUUACAUGAUGGAACUGCAGAUUGUUUUAAAAAUUAAACUGUUGGGUUGUUUUUGCGUAAGAGGCUCGGGCACCGGCCCAGCGUGAAAGGUGGCUCCUUAAGCCCGGAUUACCGGAAUUCGUAAUAUUUGUCAACCUUGCUGAAUAAGCUUGGUUUAUGGACUAUAGCAUGACUGAUCAUCUGUUAUAGCCAGGUGUCCAAUUAAUUUUAAAG